Molecule: ribosomal RNA, 1229 nt
Filed under: Salmonella enterica subsp. enterica serovar Enteritidis
Lineage: Bacteria; Pseudomonadati; Pseudomonadota; Gammaproteobacteria; Enterobacterales; Enterobacteriaceae
Description: partial 23S ribosomal RNA
Rfam family: Bacterial large subunit ribosomal RNA
Source: RNAcentral
GAGGUUAAGCGACUAAGCGUACACGGUGGAUGCCCUGGCAGUCAGAGGCGAUGAAGGGCGUACUAAUCUGCGAUAAGCGCCGGUAAGGUGAUAUGAACCGUUAUAACCGGCGAUACCCGAAUGGGGAAACCCAGUGUGAUUCGUCACACUAUCAUUAACUGAAUCCAUAGGUUAAUGAGGCGAACCGGGGGAACUGAAACAUCUAAGUACCCCGAGGAAAAGAAAUCAACCGAGAUUCCCCCAGUAGCGGCGAGCGAACGGGGAGGAGCCCAGAGCCUGAAUCAGCAUGUGUGUUAGUGGAAGCGUCUGGAAAGGCGCGCGAUACAGGGUGACAGCCCCGUACACAAAAGCGCAUGUGCUGUGAGCUCGAUGAGUAGGGCGGGACACGUGGUAUCCUGUCUGAAUAUGGGGGGACCAUCCUCCAAGGCUAAAUACUCCUGACUGACCGAUAGUGAACCAGUACCGUGAGGGAAAGGCGAAAAGAACCCCGGCGAGGGGAGUGAAAAAGAACCUGAAACCGUGUACGUACAAGCAGUGGGAGCACCCUUUGGGUGUGACUGCGUACCUUUUGUAUAAUGGGUCAGCGACUUAUAUUCUGUAGCAAGGUUAACCGAAUAGGGGAGCCGGAGGGAAACCGAGUCUUAACCGGGCGUUAAGUUGCAGGGUAUAGACCCGAAACCCGGUGAUCUAGCCAUGGGCAGGUUGAAGGUUGGGUAACACUAACUGGAGGACCGAACCGACUAAUGUUGAAAAAUUAGCGGAUGACCUGUGGCUGGGGGUGAAAGGCCAAUCAAACCGGGAGAUAGCUGGUUCUCCCCGAAAGCUAUUUAGGUAGCGCCUCGUGAAUUCAUCUCCGGGGGUAGAGCACUGUUUCGGCUAGGGGGCCAUCCCGGCUUACCAACCCGAUGCAAACUGCGAAUACCGGAGAAUGUUAUCACGGGAGACACACGGCGGGUGCUAACGUCCGUCGUGAAGAGGGAAACAACCCAGACCGCCAGCUAAGGUCCCAAAGUCAUGGUUAAGUGGGAAACGAUGUGGGAAGGCCCAGACAGCCAGGAUGUUGGCUUAGAAGCAGCCAUCAUUUAAAGAAAGCGUAAUAGCUCACUGGUCGAGUCGGCCUGCGCGGAAGAUGUAACGGGGCUAAACCAUGCACCGAAGCUGCGGCAGCGACACUGUGUGUUGUUGGGUAGGGGAGCGUUCUGUAAGCCUGUGAAGGUGUGUCGUGAGGC